CGUCCGCUGGCUCAAUGGUAGAGCGUCUGACUACGAAUCAGGAGGUUCCAGGUUCGAGACCUGGUGGGAUCG
Molecule: non-coding RNA, 72 nt
Organism: Lasiosphaeris hirsuta
Lineage: Eukaryota; Fungi; Ascomycota; Sordariomycetes; Sordariales; Lasiosphaeriaceae
Source: the annotation of a GenBank genome assembly